AGUGAACGCUGGCGGUAGGCCUAACACAUGCAAGUCGAACGGCAGCACAGUAAGAGCUUGCUCUUACGGGUGGCGAGUGGCGGACGGGUGAGGAAUACAUCGGAAUCUACUUUUUCGUGGGGGAUAACGUAGGGAAACUUACGCUAAUACCGCAUACGACCUACGGGUGAAAGCAGGGGAUCUUCGGACCUUGCGCGAUUGAAUGAGCCGAUGUCGGAUUAGCUAGUUGGCGGGGUAAAGGCCCACCAAGGCGACGAUCCGUAGCUGGUCUGAGAGGAUGAUCAGCCACACUGGAACUGAGACACGGUCCAGACUCCUACGGGAGGCAGCAGUGGGGAAUAUUGGACAAUGGGCGCAAGCCUGAUCCAGCCAUACCGCGUGGGUGAGGAAGGCCUUCGGGUUGUAAAGCCCUUCUGUUGGGAAAGAAAAGCAGCAGGUUAAUACCCCGCUGUUCUGACGGUACCCAAAGAAUAAGCACCGGCUAACUUCGUG
RNAcentral lists this ribosomal RNA (492 nucleotides) under uncultured bacterium. Its description in RNAcentral is "partial 16S ribosomal RNA". It matches the Rfam family "Bacterial small subunit ribosomal RNA", at positions 29 to 507 of the family's 1533-position model. The record is from RNAcentral.